GACGAACGCUGGCGGCGUGCUUAACACAUGCAAGUCGAACGGAAAGGCCCUGCUUUUGUGGGUUUCUCGAGUGGCGAACGGGUGAGUAACACGUGAGUAACCUGCCCUUAACUUUGGGAUAACUUCAGGAAACUGGGGCUAAUACCGGAUAGGAGCUCCUGCUGCAUGGUGUGGGUUGGAAAGUUUCGGCGGUUGGGGAUGGUCUCGCGGCUUAUCAGCUUGUUGGGGGGGUAGUGGCUUACCAAGGCUUUGACGGGUAGCCGGCCUGAGAGGGUGACCGGCCACAUUGGGACUGAGAUACGGACCAGAAUCCUACGGGAGGCAGCAGUGGGGAAUCUUGCACAAUGGGCGGAAGCGUGAUGCAGAAACGCCGCGUGCGGGAUGACGGGCUUCGGGGUGUAAACCGCUUUCGACUGUGACGAAGCGUGAGUGACGGUAAUGGGUAAAGAAGCACCGGCUAACUACGUG
This 468-nucleotide ribosomal RNA is filed under the name uncultured bacterium. RNAcentral describes it as "partial 16S ribosomal RNA". It matches the Rfam family "Bacterial small subunit ribosomal RNA", at positions 28 to 507 of the family's 1533-position model. The record is from RNAcentral.